GGAAUAUUGGACAAUGGACGGAAGUCUGAUCCAGCCAUCCCGCGUGCAGGAUGAAGGCGCUACGCGUUGUAAACUGCUUUUGUACAGGAAGAAACGCCUGGAUUUAUCUGGGCCUGACGGUACUGUAAGAAUAAGCACCGGCUAACUCCGUUCCAGCAGCCGCGGUAAUACGGAGGGUGCAAGCGUUAUCCGGAAUCACUGGGUUUAAAGGGUGCGUAGGUGGCUCUAUAAGUCAGGAGUGAAAGCCUGCGGCUUAACCGUAGAAUUGCUUUUGAUACUGUAGAGCUUGAAUUAGGUUGAGGUUGGCGGAAUGUGACAUGUAGCGGUGAAAUGCAUAGAUAUGUCAUAGAACACCAAUUGCGAAGGCAGCUGACUAGACCUUAAUUGACACUGAGGCACGAAAGCGUGGGGAGCG
This 415-nucleotide ribosomal RNA is filed under the name uncultured bacterium. Its description in RNAcentral is "bacterial SSU rRNA". It matches the Rfam family "Bacterial small subunit ribosomal RNA", at positions 358 to 770 of the family's 1533-position model. The record is from RNAcentral.